ACGAACGCUGGCGGCGUGCUUAACACCUGCCAGUCGCACGGAAAGGCCCUGCUUUUGUGGGGUGCUCGAGUGGCGAACGGGUGAGUAACACGUGAGUAACCUGCCCUUGACUUUGGGAUAACUUCAGGAAACUGGGGCUAAUACCGGAUAGGAGCUCCUGCUGCAUGGUGGGGGUUGGUAAGUUUCGGCGGUUGGGGAUGGACUCGCGGCUUAUCAGCUUGUUGGUGGGGUAGUGGCUUACCAAGGCUUUGACGGGUAGCCGGCCUGAGAGGGUGACCGGCCACAUUGGGACUGAGAUACGGCCCAGACUCCUACGGGAGGCAGCAGUGGGGAAUAUUGCACAAUGGGCGGAAGCCUGAUGCAGCAACGCCGCGUGCGGGAUGACGGCCUUCGGGUUGUAAACCGCUUUCGCCUGUGACGAAGCGUGAGUGACGGUAAUGGGUAAAGAAGCACCGGCUAACUACGUG
RNAcentral lists this ribosomal RNA (467 nucleotides) under uncultured bacterium. RNAcentral's name for it is "partial 16S ribosomal RNA". It matches the Rfam family "Bacterial small subunit ribosomal RNA", at positions 29 to 507 of the family's 1533-position model. The record is from RNAcentral.